GAUGAAGAACGCAGCGAAAUGCGAUAAGUAGUGUGAAUUGCAGAAUUCAGUGAAUCAUCGAAUCUUUGAACGCACAUUGCGCUCUUUGGUAUUCCAAAGGGCAUGCCUGUUCGAGCGUCAUUUGUACCCUCAAGCUUUGCUUGGUGUUGGGCGUCUUGUCUCUAGCUUUGCUGGAGACUCGCCUUAAAGUAAUUGGCAGCCGGCCUACUGGUUUCGGAGCGCAGCACAAGUCGCACUCUCUAUCAGCAAAGGUCUAGCAUCCAUUAAGCCUUUUUUUCAACUUUUGACCUCGGAUCAGGUAGGGAUACCCGCUGAACUUAAGCAUAUCAAUAAGCGGAGGA
Molecule: unclassified non-coding RNA, 341 nt
Filed under: soil metagenome
Description: partial contains 5.8S ribosomal RNA, internal transcribed spacer 2, and large subunit ribosomal RNA
Rfam family: 5.8S ribosomal RNA (bases 1-120)
Source: RNAcentral